GAUGAACGCUGGCGGCGUGCCUAAUACAUGCCAGUCGAGCGAACGGACGAGAAGCUUGCUUCUCUGAUGUUAGCGGUGGACGGGUGAGUAACACGUGGAUAACCUACCUAUAAGACUGGGAUAACUUCGGGAAACCGUAGCUAAUACCGGAUAAUAUUUUGAACCGCAUGGUUCAAAAGUGAAAGACGGUCUUGCUGUCACUUAUAGAUGGAUCCGCGCUGCAUUAGCUAGUUGGUAAGGUAACGGCUUACCAAGGCAACGAUGCAUAGCCGACCUGAGAGGGUGAUCGGCCACACUGGAACUGAGACACGGUCCAGACUCCUACGGGAGGCAGCAGUAGGGAAUCUUCCGCAAUGGGCGAAAGCCUGACGGAGCAACGCCGCGUGAGUGAUGAAGGUCUUCGGAUCGUAAAACUCUGUUAUUAGGGAAGAACAUAUGUGUAAGUAACUGUGCACAUCUUGACGGUACCUAAUCAGAAAGCCACGGCUAACUACGUG
Molecule: ribosomal RNA, 497 nt
Filed under: uncultured bacterium
Lineage: Bacteria
Description: partial 16S ribosomal RNA
Rfam family: Bacterial small subunit ribosomal RNA
Source: RNAcentral